This 1296-nucleotide ribosomal RNA is filed under the name Diaporthales sp. RNAcentral's name for it is "partial large subunit ribosomal RNA". It matches the Rfam family "Eukaryotic large subunit ribosomal RNA", at positions 71 to 1397 of the family's 3401-position model. Lineage: Eukaryota; Fungi; Ascomycota; Sordariomycetes; Diaporthales. The record is from RNAcentral.
GGGAUUGCCCUAGUAACGGCGAGUGAAGCGGCAACAGCUCAAAUUUGAAAUCUGGCUUCGGCCCGAGUUGUAAUUUGCAGAGGAUGUUUCUGGCGCGGUGCCUUCCGAGUUCCCUGGAACGGGACGCCACAGAGGGUGAGAGCCCCGUAUGGUAGGACACCAAGCCUGUGUGAAACUCCUUCGACGAGUCGAGUAGUUUGGGAAUGCUGCUCUAAAUGGGAGGUAAAUCUCUUCUAAAGCUAAAUACCGGCCAGAGACCGAUAGCGCACAAGUAGAGUGAUCGAAAGAUGAAAAGCACCUUGAAAAGGGGGUUAAACAGUACGUGAAAUUGUUGAAAGGGAAGCGCUUAUGACCAGACUUGUGCCGGGCGGCUCAUCAGGGGUUCUCCCCUGUGUAUUCCGCCCGGUUCAGGCCAGCAUCGGUUUUCGCUGGGGGAUAAGAACGAUAGGAACGUAGCUCCCUCUCGGGGGAGUGUUAUAGCCUGCCGUACGAUACCCUGGCGGGGACCGAGGUUCGCGCUCCGCAAGGAUGCUGGCGUAAUGGUCAUCAGCGACCCGUCUUGAAACACGGACCAAGGAGUCGUCCAUUAGAGCGAGCGUUUGGGUGUCAAACCCGCACGCGUAAUGAAAGUGAAAUUAGGUGAGAGCUUCGGCGCAUCAUCGACCGAUCCUGAUGUUCUCGGAAGGAUUUGAGUAAGAGUUUUAACGGACGGACCCGAAAGACAGUGAACUAUGCUUGUAUAGGGUGAAGCCAGAGGAAACUCUGGUGGAGGCUCGCAGCGGUUCUGACGUGCAAAUCGAUCGUCAAAUAUGAGCAUGGGGGCGAAAGACUAAUCGAACUGUCUAGUAGCUGGUUACCGCCGAAGUUUCCCUCAGGAUAGCAGUGUUGACCUUCAGUUUUAUGAGGUAAAGCGAAUGAUUAGGGACUCGGGGGCGCUUAUUAGCCUUCAUCCAUUCUCAAACUUUAAAUAUGUAAGAAGCCCUUGUUACUUAAUUGAACGUGGGCAUUCGAAUGUACCAACACUAGUGGGCCAUUUUUGGUAAGCAGAACUGGCGAUGCGGGAUGAACCGAACGCGGGGUUAAGGCGCCAGAGUGUACGCUCAUCAGACACCACAAAAGGCGUUAGUACAUCUUGACAGCAGGACGGUGGCCAUGGAAGUCGGAAUCCGCUAAGGACUGUGUAACAACUCACCUGCCGAAUGUACUAGCCCUGAAAAUGGAUGGCGCUCAAGCGUACCGCCCAUACCCCGCCCUCAGGGUAGAAACGAUGCCCUGAGGAGUAGGCGGCCGUGGGGG